UGGGGAAUAUUGCACAAUGGGCGCAAGCCUGAUGCAGCGACGCCGCGUGAGGGAUGAAGGCCUUCGGGUUGUAAACCUUUUUCGCUUUUGACCAAGUGCCCAUGUUGGUGGGUGUGAGGGUAUGGGGUAAAGAAGCACCGGCUAACUACGUGCCAGCAGCCGCGGUAAUACGUAGGGUGCGAGCGUUGUCCGGAAUUAUUGGGCGUAAAGGGCUUGUAGGUGGCGUGUCGCGUCUGUCGUGAAAGGCUCCGGCUUAACUGGAGUAGUGCGGUGGGUACGGGCAUGCUUGAGUGUGGUAGGGGAGAUUGGAAUUCCUGGUGUAGCGGUGGAAUGCGCAGAUAUCAGGAGGAACACCGGUGGCGAAGGCGGAUCUCUGGGCCAUUACUGACGCUGAGGAGCG
RNAcentral lists this ribosomal RNA (400 nucleotides) under uncultured bacterium. RNAcentral's name for it is "bacterial SSU rRNA". It matches the Rfam family "Bacterial small subunit ribosomal RNA", at positions 355 to 755 of the family's 1533-position model. The record is from RNAcentral.